Pongo abelii (Sumatran orangutan) is the source of this 117-nucleotide unclassified non-coding RNA. It matches the Rfam family "Metazoan signal recognition particle RNA". Rfam says of the family: The signal recognition particle (SRP) is a universally conserved ribonucleoprotein. It is involved in the co-translational targeting of proteins to membranes. The record is from Ensembl. Lineage: Eukaryota; Metazoa; Chordata; Mammalia; Primates; Hominidae.
GCCGGGCGUGGUGGCUCAUGCCUGUAAUCCCAGCACUUUGGGAGGCCGAGGCGGGUGGAUCACCUGAGGUCAGGAGUUCCAGACCAGCCUGACCAACAAGGUGAAACCCCGUCUCUA